This 516-nucleotide long non-coding RNA is filed under the name Homo sapiens (human). RNAcentral's name for it is "novel transcript". The record is from RNAcentral. Lineage: Eukaryota; Metazoa; Chordata; Mammalia; Primates; Hominidae.
AAGAGCCAGAGGGGGAAGAGGGGCUGGCUCUCAACCACCACGAAAUGGGAGGCCUUUAUGUUCAGGUUUUGCCCAAGACUGCGUUCGGACCCGUCUGAUCGUAAAUCCCAUGUAAGGUACCUGCCGUCGGAAGAUUUGAACGUUCUACUUGGACACCUAAAACCCACAGUCCUCCAGAAAGACAACAGGUACAAAGCCCUAAGGAUUAUAAAGGUAUGCUGCUUACCAUCAUCUUAGUGACCAAGGCAGCGAAGCUGUUUCUGUACCUUGGAACAGUCUUCCCUGACAAGCCAGAGAACAGUGAUAAAGCCACCAGCCUUGGGAUCAGGACUGAAAAGGCAAGAGUGAUGGAGAUUUCUCCUGCGCUAAGCCAAGAGAAGGUUUCAGCACUUCAGACAGCUCCCACCGAAGUAGCCGCGCUCCCAGCUGCUUGCAGAUGUUGAAAAGGAAAGCCUCGGUUUGUCUUGAGGUUGUCAGCAGGUGCAAGACACGUAAUAAAAUGCAAUGUGUUCCUAA